RNAcentral lists this ribosomal RNA (497 nucleotides) under uncultured bacterium. RNAcentral describes it as "partial 16S ribosomal RNA". It matches the Rfam family "Bacterial small subunit ribosomal RNA", at positions 28 to 507 of the family's 1533-position model. The record is from RNAcentral.
GAUGAACGCUGGCGGCGUGCCUAAUACAUGCAAGUCGAGCGAACAGACGAGGAGCUUGCUCCUCUGACGUUAGCGGCGGGCGGGUGAGUAACACGUGGAUAACCUACCUAACAGUCUGGUAUAACUUCGGGACACCGGAGAUAAUACCGUAUAAUAUAUUGAACCGCAUGGUUCGAUAGUGAAAUACGGCUUUGGUGUCUCUUCUCGCUGCAUCCGAGCCGCAUUAGCUAGUUGGUAAGGUAACGGGUUACCAAGGCAACCAUGCGUAACCGACCUGAUAGGGGGAUCGGCCACACGGGAACGUAGACACGGUCCAGACUCCUACGGGAGGCAGCAGUAGGGAAUCUUCCGCAAUGGGCGAAAACAUGACGGAGCAACGCCGCGUGAGUGAUGAAGGUCUUCGGAUCGUAAAACUCUGUUAUUAGGGAAGAACAAAUGUGUAAGUAACUAUGGACGUCUUGACGGUACCUAAUCAGAAAGCCACGGCUAACUACGUG